RNAcentral lists this ribosomal RNA (1637 nucleotides) under human gut metagenome. RNAcentral describes it as "bacterial LSU rRNA". It matches the Rfam family "Bacterial large subunit ribosomal RNA", at positions 829 to 2476 of the family's 2925-position model. The record is from RNAcentral.
CCAAUCAAACUGGGAAAUAGCUCGUACUCUCCGAAAUGCAUUUCGGUGCAGCCUGUGAUGUUCUGUUCCAGAGGUAGAGCUACUGGUUGGACGCGAGGGCUUCACCGCCUAUCAAAUCCGGAUAAACUCCGAAUGCUGGAACACGAAAUCAUGGAGUGAGCCCGCGGGUGCUAAGGUCCGCGGACGAGAGGGAAAGAACCCGGACCACCGGCUAAGGUCCCGGAUGGACAGUUAAGUUGAUCAAACGAGGUGGGAUCGCUGAGACAGCUAGGAUGUUGGCUUGGAAGCAGCCAUUCAUUUAAAGAGUGCGUAACAGCUCACUAGUCGAGCGAUCCCGCGUGGAUAAUACACGGGCAUCAAACUGUCAACCGAAGCCGUGGGGUUAGUGAUGAGCUAACCGGUAGGAGAGCAUUCCUGCCAGCUUAGAAGGUCACCCGCGAGAGUGACUGGAGCGGCAUGAAAAGCAAAUGUAGGCAUAAGUAACGAUAAUGGGGGCGAGAACCCCCCACGCCGCAAGACCAAGGAUUCCCCGGCAAUGUCAAUCAGCCGGGGGUCAGCCGGCCUCUAAGGCUCACCCGAAAGGGGAUGCCGACGAGAAACGGGUUAACAUUCCCGUGCUUCUCGUCACCGUGACGCGGUGACGGGGUGAUGAAUGGACCGCGCGCUGACGGAAUAGCGCGUUGAAGGCCGUACCCUUUGACGGUGGUAGUCAAGCACGCCACCGGAGGCGAGAGCCGAUAGUACCACGAGACCCCGGUCGAGUGGAUAGCGUCCAGGCAAUUUACCCCCUAGAAAACCCGCUAAACUUCAAGUGACGAGGAACCGUACUGUAAACGGACACACGUGGUCGGGUAGAACAUACCAAGGCGCUCGAGUGAUUCAUGGUCAAGGAACUAGGCAAAAUAGUCCUGUAACUUAGGGAUAAAGGACGCUCUAGUGAUAGAGCCGCAGAGUAAUGGCCCAGGCGACUGUUUACCAAAAACACAUGGCUAUGCCAAAUCGAAAGAUGACGUAUAUGGCCUGACACCUGCCCGGUGCCGGAAGGUUAAGAGGAGAGCUCAUCGGAAACGAGAAGGUUUGAAUUGAAGCCCCGGUAAACGGCGGCCGUAACUAUAACGGUCCUAAGGUAGCGAAAUUCCUUGUCGGGUAAGUUCCGACCUGCACGAAUGGUGUAACGAUCUGGGCACUGUCUCGACCAUGAGCUCGGUGAAAUUGUAGUUCCGGUGAAGAUGCCGGGUACCCGCGACGGGACGGAAAGACCCCGUGAACCUUUACUGCAGCUUCGCGUUGUUCCCGGGCACGGGACGUGUAGGAUAGGUCGGAGGCUAGGAGUCGGUUUCGCCAGGAAUCGAGGAGCCAUCGUUGAAAUACGACCCUUCUCUUGUCUGGGAUCUAACCCAUGGUAAUGGGGACACCGCGUGGUGGGUAGUUUGACUGGGGUGGUCGCCUCCAAAAGCGUAACGGAGGCUUCCAAAGGUACCCUCGGGUUGGUUGGUAAUCAACCUUAGAGUGCAAUGGCACAAGGGUGCUUGACCGGGAGACUAACAAGUCGAUCGGGUGCGAAAGCAGGGCAUAGUGAUCCGGUGAUCCCGCGUGGAAGGGUCAUCGCUCAAAGGAUAAAAGGUACUCCGGGGAUA